This 550-nucleotide ribosomal RNA is filed under the name uncultured bacterium. RNAcentral describes it as "bacterial SSU rRNA". It matches the Rfam family "Bacterial small subunit ribosomal RNA", at positions 355 to 896 of the family's 1533-position model. The record is from RNAcentral.
UGGGGAAUCUUCCGCAAUGGACGAAAGUCUGAUGGAGCAACGCCGCGUGAGUGAUGACGGCCUUCGGGUUGUAAAGCUCUGUUAAUCGGGACGAAUGGUUCUUGUACAAAUAGUGCGAGGAUUUGACGGUACCGGAAUAGAAAGCCACGGCUAACUACGUGCCAGCAGCCGCGGUAAUACGUAGGUGGCAAGCGUUGUCCGGAAUUAUUGGGCGUAAAGCGCGCGCAGGCGGAUUGGUCAGUCUGUCUUAAAAGUUCGGGGCUUAACCCCGUGAUGGGAUGGAAACUGCCAAUCUAGAGUAUCGGAGAGGAAAGUGGAAUUCCUAGUGUAGCGGUGAAAUGCGUAGAUAUUAGGAAGAACACCAGUGGCGAAGGCGACUUUCUGGACGAAAACUGACGCUGAGGCGCGAAAGCCAGGGGAGCGAACGGGAUUAGAUACCCCGGUAGUCCUGGCCGUAAACGAUGGGUACUAGGUGUAGGAGGUAUCGACCCCUUCUGUGCCGGAGUUAACGCAAUAAGUACCCCGCCUGGGGAGUACGACCGCAAGGUUG